AGGAGGCAGCUGUGCCGGUGCCUUCUGUCUCGUCCCAAGGUGUUCUGGGCGAAGGUUUUAUACCCACAGAAACACGGGUACACAUGGUGCCCCGUCACGGUGCUGACCUUGGAGACCUACUUUUUAGAAGAGUCAGAUUCACAGAAGAGUCUUGAAGACGGUGCAGCGUCGCCGUGUCCCAGCCCGUCCCCUCCUGCUGACGACCGGCAUUCAGGCGGCACAUUUGUCACAGUCAGUGAACUGACAUUGACACACUGUCCUUCACCAAAGUCCACACUUCACUCACACUGCCUCAGUUCCCCCUGAUGUCCGUCUUCUGCCCCAGGACCCCACAUGACGGUGACACUCAGCCUCCUCGUGUCCUUGGCUCCCCUGGGCUGAGACAGCUUGAGGGCGCGGGGCUGUCUGAGGCCCCGGGUCUGGGGAGGGGCGGGUGGGCUUGGCCUUGAACUUUGUAAUGAGGCGUCAGCUUCCGAGGAACAGGCCCAGGCUCAGGAGCUGAGGACUUUGCACAAACCAGACGGUGUCGGUGUGAUUCGUGGAGGAGCCGUGCGCGUGGUCCCCUGGGAGUGUCCCACCCGAUGAGAGGGACACAGGGACCCCUCAUUCCUGCAGCCCCUCGGCCACAGGGGUUUGGAUGAUGAGUGACUUGGGAAGCCCAGGGAGGAGGUCUGGUGAGCGUCAUCGGGGAGGCGAGGCCAUCGCGUGUGGGAGGACGGCGACCCAAGUCCUGGGGACAGACCCGCCGCCUGGGGGCCCUUCUGGCCCCACCCUGUGUCCCCUCCACCUGCUGUUCAUGCAAGUCCCAUAGAAUAAACCCAAACACGUGCUUCCUGAA
Non-coding RNA from Equus caballus (horse), 838 nucleotides. The record is from RefSeq and is a predicted model, not a curated record. NCBI's taxonomy places the organism in Eukaryota, Metazoa, Chordata, Mammalia, Perissodactyla, Equidae.